CCUUAAUAAAGCAUCUCAAGCCCCAAUGCGAAGCUGCCACGUGGAGCUUUCUCAUAGGGUGGUGAAAAACCAUGCGCCAACUCUCCCAAAUAAGGAGUUGUUUGUCACAGACCACAGCAGAGCCAGCGCCAUCUUGUAAUGGCGACCAUAGUCUGCAGAAACGGCAGAAGCGGCUCACCACAGAAUGAGAUGGACAUCAUUACACUAGGUACAUGUACAGUUGCAUGAAUGGUGCGUCGCUACACCGUGUACAACCACCAGAGAACUGAAAUGUUGCACUCCAUUUGUGUAUGAUGAAUUGAAAUACAUUCUGCUGUCAUUAAAAACUAAGUGAAAUAAAAUAAUAAAAAUUAUCCUCUGAAAGUUGACAUGAUCUUCAUUGACAAGUGGUCAACUAAUUGCAGAUAAUUUUUGCAAGAUACUAAAUAACCAAAUUACUAAUAUUAUUACAAUUCAUGUAAUCUAUACAGUAGUGUAAAUAUUGAAUUACUACUAAAACACCGUAUCUCUUCUCUGUUCCUUU
This 523-nucleotide long non-coding RNA is filed under the name Marmota monax (woodchuck). The record is from RNAcentral. Lineage: Eukaryota; Metazoa; Chordata; Mammalia; Rodentia; Sciuridae.